CCUACGGGAGGCAGCAGUGGGGAAUUUUGGACAAUGGGGGCAACCCUGAUCCAGCCAUGCCGCGUGAGUGAAGAAGGCCUUCGGGUUGUAAAGCUCUUUCAGACGGAAAGAAAUCGGGUGGGUGAACAUCCUGCUUGGAUGACGGUACUGUCAGAAGAAGCACCGGCUAACUACGUG
This 177-nucleotide ribosomal RNA is filed under the name uncultured bacterium. RNAcentral describes it as "partial 16S ribosomal RNA". It matches the Rfam family "Bacterial small subunit ribosomal RNA", at positions 338 to 507 of the family's 1533-position model. The record is from RNAcentral.